AACCCGGUGAUCUAGCCAUGGGCAGGUUGAAGGUUGGGUAACACUAACUGGAGGACCGAACCGACUAAUGUUGAAAAAUUAGCGGAUGACUUGUGGCUGGGGGUGAAAGGCCAAUCAAACCGGGAGAUAGCUGGUUCUCCCCGAAAGCUAUUUAGGUAGCGCCUCGUGAAUUCAUCUCCGGGGGUAGAGCACUGUUUCGGCAAGGGGGUCAUCCCGACUUACCAACCCGAUGCAAACUGCGAAUACCGGAGAAUGUUAUCACGGGAGACACACGGCGGGUGCUAACGUCCGUCGUGAAGAGGGAAACAACCCAGACCGCCAGCUAAGGUCCCAAAGUCAUGGUUAAGUGGGAAACGAUGUGGGAAGGCCCAGACAGCCAGGAUGUUGGCUUAGAAGCAGCCAUCAUUUAAAGAAAGCGUAAUAGCUCACUGGUCGAGUCGGCCUGCGCGGAAGAUGUAACGGGGCUAAACCAUGCACCGAAGCUGCGGCAGCGACACUGUGUGU
RNAcentral lists this ribosomal RNA (504 nucleotides) under Escherichia coli O157:H7. RNAcentral describes it as "partial 23S ribosomal RNA". It matches the Rfam family "Bacterial large subunit ribosomal RNA", at positions 719 to 1221 of the family's 2925-position model. Lineage: Bacteria; Pseudomonadati; Pseudomonadota; Gammaproteobacteria; Enterobacterales; Enterobacteriaceae. The record is from RNAcentral.